RNAcentral lists this small nuclear RNA (79 nucleotides) under Neotoma lepida (desert woodrat). RNAcentral's name for it is "U2 spliceosomal RNA". Lineage: Eukaryota; Metazoa; Chordata; Mammalia; Rodentia; Cricetidae. The record is from Rfam by way of RNAcentral.
AUCGCUUCUCGGCCUUUUGGCUAAGAUCAAGUGUAGUAUAUUUAAUUAAAAUGGAAAACAUUAAGUAAGCACACCCNUC